This 468-nucleotide ribosomal RNA is filed under the name uncultured bacterium. RNAcentral describes it as "partial 16S ribosomal RNA". It matches the Rfam family "Bacterial small subunit ribosomal RNA", at positions 28 to 507 of the family's 1533-position model. The record is from RNAcentral.
GACGAACGCUGGCGGCGUGCUUAACACAUGCAAGUCGAACGGAAAGGCCCUGCUUUUGUGGGGUGCUCGAGUGGCGAACGGGUGAGUAACACGUGAGUAACCUGCCCUUGACUUUGGGAUAACUUCAUGUAACUGGGGCUAAUACCGGAUAGGAGCUCCUGCAUCUUGGUGGGGGUUGGAAAGUUUCGGCGGUUGGUGAGGGACUCGUGGCUUAUGAGCUUGUUGGUGGGGUAGUGGCUUACCAAGGCUUUGACGGGUAGCCGGCCUGAGAGGGUGACCGGCCACAUUGGGACUGAGAGACGGCCCAGACUCCUACGGGAGGCAGCAGAGGAGAAUAUUGUAAAAUAGGCGGAAGCAUGAGGCAGCAUCGCCGCGUGCGGUAUGCCGGCCUUCGGGUUGUAAACCGCUUUCGCCUGUGACGAAGCGUGAGUGACGGUAAUGGGUAAAGAAGCACCGGCUAACUACGUG